Molecule: ribosomal RNA, 495 nt
Filed under: uncultured bacterium
Lineage: Bacteria
Description: partial 16S ribosomal RNA
Rfam family: Bacterial small subunit ribosomal RNA
Source: RNAcentral
GACGAACGCUGGCGGCGUGCCUAAUACAUGCAAGUAGAACGCUGAAGGAGGAGCUUGCUUCUCUGGAUGAGUUGCGAACGGGUGAGUAACGCGUAGGUAACCUGCCUGGUAGCGGGGGAUAACUAUUGGAAACGAUAGCUAAUACCGCAUAAUAGUAGAUGUUGCAUGACAUUUGCCUAAAAGGUGCAAUUGCAUCACUACCAGAUGGACCUGCGUUGUAUUAGCUAGUUGGUGGGGUAACGGCUCACCAAGGCGACGAUACAUAGCCGACCUGGGAGGGUGAUCGGCCACACUGGGACUGAGACACGGCCCAGACUCCUACGGGAGGCAGCAGUAGGGAAUCUUCGGCAAUGGACGGAAGUCUGACCGAGCAACGCCGCGUGAGUGAAGAAGGUUUUCGGAUCGUAAAGCUCUGUUGUAAGAGAAGAACGAGUGUGAGAGUGGAAAGUUCACACUGUGACGGUAUCUUACCAGAAAGGGACGGCUAACUACGUG